RNAcentral lists this long non-coding RNA (476 nucleotides) under Parus major (Great Tit). RNAcentral's name for it is "lncRNA (ENSPMJG00000001129.1)". Lineage: Eukaryota; Metazoa; Chordata; Aves; Passeriformes; Paridae. The record is from RNAcentral.
AUGGCGGCAGCUCCCUCACGGCCCGGUGCCCACCACCUCCGCAGUGAUAGCGAUGGCGACGUCUCUGGAGUGAGAAACAGUGAACAAUUCGCCCAGGGAGUUAUGGAGAACAGGUUGAUUCUGGCCUGGGGCCCAGGAAGAAAUGUGAGGGAGGAAGCAAGGAAAGCACAUGGAAGGCCAGAGUUCCAGGACACAGCAGGAGGAUACUGCAAUUUGGAGCCAAAGGAGGUACCUCUGACAGACACAUCUUUCCAGCUGCUGUUCUGGAUCCACCCUGGCAUUCUGCUGCUGCAAACGUGGUUCCACAUCUGUUUGAAAUCAUGACUCAGUGCACCUAGGGAUGGGAUCAAUCCAACACUCAAAUGGUGGGAGAAGGGUCAGGGAAGGAGCACCGGGGCUUGGAACCCCAGGGAAGGAAGGAGCAGCUGCACCCCAAGGUGAUCCCAGCAGGGAGCUGGAACAGGGGGUGGGAUGGG